This is a non-coding RNA of Microcebus murinus (gray mouse lemur), 1111 nucleotides long. The record is from RefSeq and is a predicted model, not a curated record. Lineage: Eukaryota; Metazoa; Chordata; Mammalia; Primates; Cheirogaleidae.
UAUUCUUUCAGGGGGUCAGUGCUAAGAUGAGGCGACAACACAUUCCUCAGUGAUCUGGAAGAGGAGUCACUUCUGUUUUCCACUGACUAUGUUGUGAUUUAGGAAUAAUAAGCUAAAGAUGUAUUUGCUCUGGCCAGAAGUUCUCAGAAGGCAAGAACAGAGGAUCAAACGUAUAUCUUUCUGGAGGAGACACUUCAAGGAGACCCUGAUCUCCACUUCUGUGUCAGGAGCAACUAUGAACUGCAAUUCUCCAGGGUUGAUGGCAAGACUGGGCAGAAAUAAUACAAAAAUUCCAAGGAACAAAUGGAUGUUGGAAGUGGAGAAACUAGCCUAGAUUUGAGGUUAAUGAGUGAAUCUUUGAUCAAAGUCAAGGUCUAUAAUAAUGAGGAAGAUGGUGAUGGCCAUCACUGAUUGAGCACUUACUACAUGCCAGAUGCCACGCUCUUUGUGGCUAUUGAGUCUUCACAACAGCUCCAUGAGAUAGGACCUGUGACUAUCCUCAUCUUACAGGCAAGUUUGCUCCAAGGCAGAGGAUGGUCAUAGGUUGGAUGGCUCUUGGGACCUCGCUUUCACUCCUGUGCUCCUGCAGUCCCUUCGCUCUUCUCCCAGCUCUCUCUGCUCGGCGACGUCAACGCUUGCUCAUGCUUAAAAGCUGCCUGCAAAUGUCAGCUCCUGUGAUGCAGCCUUCUACAAAUUCCCUCUCCAAAGUGAAAAACUCCCUCCUCCAGGCUCUCCCAGCCUUCAUCUGUGCCAUGACCUACUUUACCAACCACAUCCUGCUGGAGUGAUCGUCUGUGAGUCUGUUACCCCCAUCUGGACUCGUGUGUGUAUCUUUCAUCUCUGUUUCCAUGGGCCUAGCACAGUGCCUUCCCAGGCAGAUAAUUUCAAAAUUCUAAGUUUAAGGCCCUCUGUGAACAGGGCUGGGCCAGAUGGCAUCUUGGCAUCCUUUGUAAAAUGAGCUGCCUUCUCCACUUAAGACCUUCCACCCAAGGGAGAGAUCCCUCCCUGAGCAGGGGCACACUCUCAGCCUCAGGACUAGGGCUGCGCUGGGCUUCCAUGAUGACAAUUCAGUGACUGAAGGUGGGUGGUGAGGGUGACCUCCCCCAGCAAA